CAGGGAAUAUUGCACAAUGGACGGAAGUCUGAUGCAGCGACGCCGCGUGAGUGAAGAAGGCCUUCGGGUUGUAAAACUCUUUUGAGGGGGAAGAGCGAGGACGGUACCCCUGGAAUAAGCGUCGGCUAACUACGUGCCAGCAGCCGCGGUAAGACGUAGGACGCGAGCGUUAUCCGGAUUUACUGGGCGUAAAGCGUCUGUAGGCGGUCGUGUAAGUUGGGCGUGAAAGCUCCGGGCUUAACCCGGAGAGGCCGUUCAAUACUGCAUGGCUUGAGGGUGUCAGAGGGGAGCGGAAUUCCCGGUGUAGCGGUAAAAUGCGCAGAGAUCGGGAGGAACACCAGUGGCGGAGGCGGUUCCCUGGGGCACACCUGACGCUGAGAGACGAAAGCUAGGGGAGCGAACA
RNAcentral lists this ribosomal RNA (403 nucleotides) under uncultured bacterium. Its description in RNAcentral is "bacterial SSU rRNA". It matches the Rfam family "Bacterial small subunit ribosomal RNA", at positions 355 to 774 of the family's 1533-position model. The record is from RNAcentral.